Molecule: ribosomal RNA, 378 nt
Filed under: uncultured bacterium
Lineage: Bacteria
Description: bacterial SSU rRNA
Rfam family: Bacterial small subunit ribosomal RNA
Source: RNAcentral
GACUAACGCUGGCGGCGUGCCUAACACAUGCAAGUCGAACGAGGUAGCAAUACCUAGUGGCAGACGGGUGAGUAACGCGUAGAUAAUGUGCCCUCUUGCGGGGGAUACCGUUUCGAAGGAACGUUAAUACCGCAUAACACGAAGCUGAGGCAUCUCAGAAUCGUCAAACUUCCGGGGCGGGAGGAGCAGUCUGCGUUCUAUCAGCUAGUUGGUGGGGUAAGUGGCCUACCAAGGCGACGACGGAUAACUGGUCUGAGAGGAUGAUCAGUCACACUGGAACUGAGACACGGUCCAGACUCCUACGGGAGGCAGCAGUGAGGAAUAUUGCGCAAUGGGCGAAAGCCUGACGCAGCGACGCCGCGUGGAGGAUGAAGGCCU